GUGUUCAUACCAGCACUAGUGCACCGGAUCCCAUCAGAACUCCGAAGUUAAGCGUGCUUGGGCUAGAAUAAUACUAGGAUGGGUGGCCCACUGGGAAGUCCUCGUGUUGCACCCC
RNAcentral lists this ribosomal RNA (115 nucleotides) under Salvia splendens (bonfire salvia). Lineage: Eukaryota; Viridiplantae; Streptophyta; Magnoliopsida; Lamiales; Lamiaceae. The record is from RNAcentral.